Suncus etruscus (white-toothed pygmy shrew) is the source of this 107-nucleotide small nuclear RNA. The record is from RefSeq and is a predicted model, not a curated record. NCBI's taxonomy places the organism in Eukaryota, Metazoa, Chordata, Mammalia, Eulipotyphla, Soricidae.
GUGCUUGCUUCAGCAGCACAUAUAUUAAAAUUGGAAUGAUAUAGAAAAAUUAGCAUGGUUCUUGCGCAAGGAUAACUAAAAAAAAUUUAGAGUAUUAGCUAUACUAU